UAUUCAUACGGUCUUAAAUUCAUAAAGAGACCUUCACUCCUAUUCCUCAACCCUCCAGUAUUCUCUGGAAACAACCAGUAUUAACCAGCUUCUUGAGUAUUCAAAAGAUAUUUUAUGUAUAUGUAAGUUUAUUUAGAUAAGCUCAGAGCCUCUGUUCUCUUUAACCCUGGUUGUGCUUGAUAAGAAAAGAGAGGGAGGAUGAAGCCUCCCUCCCAAAGAUAGCAAAUGUCUUGUUUUCUCUCUUGAUUAGGCCAGGUCCUGAGAGAGGAGAGGUAAACUGCAUUCAUCAUGUUCAGUCAGGAGUGUUCUAUCUUUAG
RNAcentral lists this long non-coding RNA (317 nucleotides) under Bos taurus (domestic cattle). RNAcentral's name for it is "long non-coding RNA NONBTAT025015". Lineage: Eukaryota; Metazoa; Chordata; Mammalia; Artiodactyla; Bovidae. The record is from RNAcentral.